RNAcentral lists this ribosomal RNA (497 nucleotides) under uncultured bacterium. Its description in RNAcentral is "partial 16S ribosomal RNA". It matches the Rfam family "Bacterial small subunit ribosomal RNA", at positions 28 to 507 of the family's 1533-position model. The record is from RNAcentral.
GAUGAACGCUGGCGGCGUGCCUAAUACAUGCAAGUCGAGCGAACAGACGAGGAGCUUGCUCCUCUGACGUUAGCGGCGGACGGGUGAGUAACACGUGGAUAACCUACCUAUAAGACUGGGAUAACUUCGGGAAACCGGAGCUAAUACCGGAUAAUAUAUUGAACCGCAUGGUUCAAUAGUGAAAGACGGUUUUGCUGUCACUUAUAGAUGGAUCCGCGCCGCAUUAGCUAGUUGGUAAGGUAACGGCUUACCAAGGCAACGAUGCGUAGCCGACCUGAGAGAGUGAUCGGCCACACGGGAGCUGAGACACGGUCCAUGCUCCUACGGGAGGCAGCAGUAGGGAAUCUGCCGCAAUGGGCGAAAGCCUGGCGGAGCAACGCCGCGUGAGUGAUGAAGGUCUUCGGAUCGUAAAACUCUGUUAUUAGGGAAGAACAAAUGUGUAUGUAACUAUGCACGUCUUGACGGUACCUAAUCAGAAAGCCACGGCUAACUACGUG